This 68-nucleotide transfer RNA is filed under the name Gyrodactylus kobayashii. Its description in RNAcentral is "tRNA-Leu". Lineage: Eukaryota; Metazoa; Platyhelminthes; Monogenea; Gyrodactylidea; Gyrodactylidae. The record is from RNAcentral.
AUACUAGUGUCAGAGAUUUAUGAGUCGAUUUUAAGCGUCGAAUACGAAAGCUUGCCUUUCCUAGUAUU